RNA transcript from Lagenorhynchus albirostris (white-beaked dolphin), 2335 nucleotides. It is a transcript of the gene named mucolipin TRP cation channel 1, with no coding region annotated. The transcript is spliced from 14 exons. NCBI's taxonomy places the organism in Eukaryota, Metazoa, Chordata, Mammalia, Artiodactyla, Delphinidae. The record is from RefSeq and is a predicted model, not a curated record.
GGGCUCGAGUCAGCUGACGCGGGAGGGUUUGAAGCUACACCGCGAGGGAGCGAGGCCGCAGUGACAGCAGCGGGUGUUUAGACGCCGGUUGCACCGCCGCGCCCGCCGGCGUUCGGCGCUCCCCUCCCCGGCAUGGCGGUGCCCGUAGGCCCGCGCGGCUCAGAGACUGAGCGCCUCCUGACACCCAAACCUGGGUAUGGGACCCAGGUGGGGCCUUCCCCAGCCCCUUCCACCCCUCCAGAAGAGGAGGAUCUCCGCCGUCGUCUCAAGUACUUCUUCAUGAGCCCCUGUGAUAAAUUUCGGGCCAAGGGCCGCAAGCCCUUUAAGCUCAUGCUGCAGGUGGUGAAGAUCCUGGUGGUCACAGUGCAGCUCAUCCUGUUUGGGCUCAGCAACCAGCUGGUGGUGACAUUCCGGGAGGAGAACACCAUCGCCUUCCGGCACCUCUUCCUGCUGGGCUACUCGGACGGGGCGGAUGACACGUUUGCGGCCUACACCCGGGAGCAGCUGUACCAGGCCAUCUUCCACGCCGUGGACCAGUACCUGAUGCUCCCCGAUGUGUCCCUGGGUCGGUAUGCUUACGUGCGGGGCGGGGGCGGGCCCUGGGCCAAUGGCUCGGCCCUGGCCCUCUGCCAGUGCUACUACCACCGGGGCCACGUGGACCCAGCCAAUGACACCUUUGACAUCGACCCCAUGGUCAUCACUGACUGUAUCCGGGUGGACCCUCCCGAGAGACCCCCCGUGCCCCCCAGUGAUGAGCUCUUCCUCUUGGAUGGCAGCACCAGUUACAAGAACCUCACGCUCAAAUUCCACAAGCUGAUCAACGUCACCAUCCACUUCCAGCUGAAGACCAUCAACCUCCAGAGCCUGAUCAACAAUGAAAUCCCAGACUGCUACACCUUCAGCAUCCUGAUCACAUUUGACAAUAAGGCACACAGUGGGCGUAUCCCCAUCAGCCUGGAGACCCAGGCCCACAUCCAGGAGUGUAAGCACCCCAGCGUCUUUGGCCACGGAGACAACAGCUUCCGGCUCCUCUUUGACGUGGUCGUGAUCCUGACUUGUGCCUUCUCCUUCCUGCUGUGCGCCCGCUCGCUGCUGCGAGGCUUCCUGCUGCAGAGCGAGUUUGUCAGGUUCAUGUGGCGGCAGCGGGGACAGGUCAUCAGCCUGUGGGAGCGGCUGGAAUUUGUCAACGGCUGGUACAUCCUGCUGGUCACCAGCGACGUGCUCACCAUCUCAGGCACCAUCAUGAAGAUUGGCAUCGAAGCCAAGAACCUGGCAAGCUAUGACGUCUGCAGCAUCCUUCUGGGCACCUCGACGCUGCUCGUCUGGGUCGGUGUCAUCCGCUACCUGACCUUCUUCCACAAGUACAACAUCCUUAUUGCCACGCUGCGGGUGGCCCUGCCCAGCGUCAUGCGCUUCUGCUGCUGUGUGGCCGUCAUCUACCUGGGCUAUUGCUUCUGCGGCUGGAUUGUGUUGGGACCCUACCAUGUGAAGUUCCGCUCGCUGUCCAUGGUGUCCGAGUGCCUUUUCUCGCUCAUCAACGGGGAUGACAUGUUCGUGACGUUCGCGGCGAUGCAGGCGCAGCAGGGCCGCAGCAGCCUGGUCUGGCUGUUCUCCCAGCUCUACCUGUACUCCUUCAUCAGCCUGUUCAUCUACAUGGUGCUCAGCCUCUUCAUCGCGCUCAUCACCGGCGCCUACGACACCAUCAAGAGCAAGCGCCCAAAAGCCAAUGUGACUAGUAGCUACCAGAUUUGGACAGCAUAGAUAUCACACCUUUCCAUCAUCUCAGGAAGUUCUGGAUCGAUGAGACAGGAGCCCAAGAGAGAGCACCAGGGAGAAGGAACAGCCAAAGCAAAGACCUAGAGCCAGAAAGGACUUGGAGAGGAGAUAUUGGCCCUGUGAGGUUGGGAGAGAUGAAGACAAGGCUAAAAGCCAGAACAUUCACUGCUGCUGGGAAUGCAGAUGUUUGCACCCCGCCCGCUCGCCGCCCCCACAAGUGGGUGGUUGUCAAGCACCCAGACUGGGUCAGGCACGGCUCGAGGCGCUGAAGCCACAGCGGAGGGCACCAACUGACCAAGAUUCAGGGUGUGCACACAUUCAGUGGUCAGGGAAUGUCUCCGGGUGAAGCAAACCACGAGGAACAGCAGGUGGAGGGCACAGCACGGUGCAGAGGCCCAGAGGUGGGAGCCUGGUUGGUCCACAAGGACCGCAUCCGGGCGGGGCGGGCGGAGAGGAGAGCGAGCUCCAGGCCUACAUCGCGCAGUGCCAAGACAGCCCCACCUCCGGCAAAUUCCGCCGUGGGAGCGGCUCCGCCUGCAGCCUCCUCUGCUGCUGCGGC